AGAACGAACGCUGGCGGCAGGCUUAACACAUGCAAGUCGAGCGCCGUAGCAAUACGGAGCGGCAGACGGGUGAGUAACGCGUGGGAACAUACCCUUCGGUUCGGAAUAAUUCAGGGAAACUUGGACUAAUACCGGAUACGGACGAGAGUCGAAAGAUUUAUCGCCGAAGGAUUGGCCCGCGUUCGAUUAGCUAGUUGGUGUGGUAACGGCGCACCAAGGCGACGAUCGAUAGCUGGUCUGAGAGGAUGAUCAGCCACAUUGGGACUGAGACACGGCCCAAACUCCUACGGGAGGCAGCAGUGGGGAAUAUUGGACAAUGGGCGCAAGCCUGAUCCAGCCAUGCCGCGUGAGUGAUGACGGCCUUAGGGUUGUAAAGCUCUUUCGCUAGGGACGAUAAUGACGGUACCUAGACAAGAAGCCCCGGCUAACUUCGCGCCAGCACGCCGC
RNAcentral lists this ribosomal RNA (447 nucleotides) under uncultured bacterium. RNAcentral describes it as "SSU rRNA". It matches the Rfam family "Bacterial small subunit ribosomal RNA", at positions 26 to 518 of the family's 1533-position model. The record is from RNAcentral.